AGUGAACGCUGGCGGUAGGCCUAACACAUGCAAGUCGAACGGCAGCACAGUAAGAGCUUGCUCUUACGGGUGGCGAGUGGCGGACGGGUGAGGAAUACAUCGGAAUCUACUUUUUCGUGGGGGAUAACGUAGGGAAACUUACGCUAAUACCGCAUACGACCUACGAGUGAAAGCAGGGGAUCUUCGGACCUUGCGCGAUUGAAUGAGCCGAUGUCGGAUUAGCUAGUUGGCGGGGUAAAGGCCCACCAAGGCGACGAUCCGUAGCUGGUCUGAGAGGAUGAUCAGCCGCACUGGAACGGAAACACGGUCCAGACUCCUGCGGGAGGCAGCAGUGGGGAAUAUUGGACAAUGGGGGCAAGCCUGAUCCAGCCAUACCGCGUGGGUGAAGGAGGCCUUCGGGUUGUAAAGCCCUUUUGUUGGGAAAGAAAAGCAGCAGGUUAAUACCCCGCUGUUCUGACGGUACCCAAAGAAUAAGCACCGGCUAACUUCGUG
RNAcentral lists this ribosomal RNA (492 nucleotides) under uncultured bacterium. RNAcentral's name for it is "partial 16S ribosomal RNA". It matches the Rfam family "Bacterial small subunit ribosomal RNA", at positions 29 to 507 of the family's 1533-position model. The record is from RNAcentral.